GAGGCCCAGAACUUGCAAAAAGCCCAACUGCAAAGCCCGGCUAGUCCUCGGUGAGACCUUCCGCCGGCGGCCACCGGCCCUGGCGGAGAGCCGGAGAGCCCCCCGGCGGUUGCUAAUCUCCGGCGCCGUUGGAGACAGCGGCUAUAUAGCUUAGUCGGCUGUCUUCUCGGAGAGGAUCCGUCCCCCAAAACCCACCUGCCGCUAUUACUGGAGUGCUGGUCAGUCUUGCGGAUGCCGGAAGAAAUUGAUCCGAGCCUAGGGAUUAGAUCGAGGCAUGACAGUGUCACCUUUGCUUGACCCAGCCGCACAAGCUUCUAGCUUCGCCUGCUGCUGGAAGUUGUUCAGGGAUUCCUCUUCCGACGUGUGUGACAUUGCUUGGAAGUCCAGAUACUGGUUGCAGAGGGUGCCAGCAAGGUGAAGGGGAUGGUGAUUUAUGCACAACGGAAUGAAGGGGCUGCAAUUAGACAAUAGGAAAAUGGUUGAUUAAACUUUCAGUCAGCAUCAAGGACUGCAAUGCUGCCGCUAUUAUUUAACUGAUACAAUGCGAAUCUGAUUGCCUCAUCAGCACGAAUGUUCCGUUCCGUUUAUUGUUUCUAAAGAAUUUGUCAGUAUCCUGAAGUUUGCUAAGCAAAGUUCCAUGGGAGAAGAUAACUAGUCCUGAGCAACGUGCUACUGUAUGCUCAUCUCGUUGCACUCCUGUUACUGUUUUUGCCUGGUGAGCUACAGAGAAAGACCAUCCGGAGGACCAGAAAGAUUCAUGAUACUGUGAGCUGCAGGUGGUAAUUUUUGCCGCUGAUCUUUUUACAUCGUCGAAAUCUGUAUGCCUUGCAGUCAUCGACAAGAGAGGCUCUAGUGUAUGUCAUGUUUCACCCUGGGGAUUAAAGUAGCUUGUCACCGUCAAGACGGAUGGUUUGGGUGGUAAAUUGAUAACGUUGUUUUCUCGAGAUGAUGUCGCAAUCAGACGGAGGAAUAAAAUCGAGGCGAUCUGUGUGAAGAGCAGGCAGGAGACGGCUCGUCGGUACAAGGGAGGAUGCCAACUGUGAGAUCCGGGAGAAGAGACAAAGUUGGCCGCAGUUUUUAUAUCCGGCUUGCCGUGGUAUCAACCUCCUCUCUUUGGUGCAACUGUGAGAUCCGCCUUUGUUUUAGUAUUUGGAGUUUCCUGAAGGUUUGAAGAGUUCUACGUCAUGUCUUCCAAUGCAGAAGCUGUGUUACCAGAAGAGGCUGAAGUGUAUGUCAAAUGAUCGUUCCCCGAUUUGGCGCCAUCUAGUGAUCACGGUGAAUAGCAAGGUUCAAGUUCUACCGUGACUUUAAAUCUGUCGGUUAUUUGAUGAUAUUGUUAGGAUUUGAUCUUAUAGCAUCUACAGCUUUUCGAUUU
This is a long non-coding RNA of Panicum virgatum (switchgrass), 1375 nucleotides long. RefSeq lists it as uncharacterized. NCBI's taxonomy places the organism in Eukaryota, Viridiplantae, Streptophyta, Magnoliopsida, Poales, Poaceae. The record is from RefSeq and is a predicted model, not a curated record. The transcript is spliced from 3 exons.